RNAcentral lists this transfer RNA (77 nucleotides) under Rhizocola hellebori. RNAcentral describes it as "tRNA-Ala". The record is from RNAcentral. Lineage: Bacteria; Bacillati; Actinomycetota; Actinomycetes; Micromonosporales; Micromonosporaceae.
GCUGGACGGGACCCUGGAAGGGCCGCUGCCGCUGGCGCUGGCCGCGAAGGCGAAGUUCGAGAUCCUGUGGUUCAGCU